CCGGGACUUAUAUUGCUUAAGGUGGGUUUAAUGGAUUGUCGAAGAUGGACCUUGACCCGUUACCUAUAGAGAGGUAGGAACCAAAGGUAUAAAAAGGUGGAUGAAUGCCACACCAGGAUGGUGAUAAGUUCAAGAAGUCGGGUUGACGCCACUAGCGAGCUAGAUAAGUCAGAACGAGACUCGUACGAAAUAGGAUAGG
Molecule: long non-coding RNA, 199 nt
Filed under: Gossypium barbadense (sea-island cotton)
Lineage: Eukaryota; Viridiplantae; Streptophyta; Magnoliopsida; Malvales; Malvaceae
Description: long non-coding RNA (GBAR_LNC019133)
Source: RNAcentral